Molecule: long non-coding RNA, 1178 nt
Organism: Lycium ferocissimum
Lineage: Eukaryota; Viridiplantae; Streptophyta; Magnoliopsida; Solanales; Solanaceae
Exons: 3
Source: RefSeq, a predicted model, not a curated record
GCAACUAAAGGGGUAACACCCCUUUUCCUUCCUUACACAUUCAAAGGGCCAAACAACCUUUAGGGGUUUUCUCUCUCUCAUAAGCAAUGGAAGCCCUAGCCACCCCUUAAGUGUUUUCUCUCUCUUAUGUUGUUUGCCCGAAAUGGCAAUGAUUGCGGGCCCUCAAAGCACCCUACGGACUAGGUGUGGUUGAAAAUGUUAAGAGCAUUUAUUUCUCUGUCAUUUUUCAACCAAUUCCACCUCAUAUCAACCCAAACGAGAGUAUCUGGGGUUGAGGAAGCAAAAUCUUCCAAGUUCAAACCUCGACAAGUGGCUGCACUCGCAAAAGGUGUUGUGCUUGAGAUGCCACAAUUUGAGUGAGCAAUUGAGUAACUCCCUUAAGGUCAUCAUUUGAAAUACUUAAUGGAGGUGAGGGAUGCAUUGGAGCUUUUGUGGGCUCCACCACUCUCAUGGGAUGUAGGACUGAAGAUGUCUGACUUGAUUGGUGACCCUGAUCCCUUAUUUGAACCCUCGUAGCAAUUAACACUUCAUUCGAUACUACUUUCGGAGCGACAUUUGUCCUUUGACUCAUUUGGUCUUGUGCUUUGGUUGCAUUUUUUGUGAACAAGAACAAUACACAAAUUAGUAACUAUUCUUAGAGUCUAGCUCUAUCCACAAUCUAGUGUAUUGAAGUUUAAAUGUUGUAUUGCCUCACUAUUAUAGAUAUGGCCGAUAACACACAAUAAAAAGAAUUCUACUAAAUAUAAUCUAUAGACUCCUAGAACAAAUGAAACCUACAACUCUGAUACCAAGUUUGUCACACUCCAAAAUUUUGGUGGGAUGGAGCCCACCCAGUGUCUUAAACUUGAUCAAGCGAACCAACUUUUAGAUACAUUAAUAAAUGUGGCGCAUGCAUAAUUGAGAAAAUGAAAGAUUUUCAUAAAGAACACUUUGCCUUUCAUAGUUUGUAAAAUUAUGAUUACAAAAAUAGUAUUCAUACAAGGCAUACGAGACUUCAAUAAAAUGACAAAAGAGACAUAACAUGAUUAACUAUGCCUAUGGAGCCUCUAUGACUUCAUGACUAAAAAGAAGUGUCAGUGACAAGAACUAUCUGCUGAUCCAAAAACUAUCUACUGAUUCCGUGAAUUGAUCGCUAAACAAAUAUAUGAAACCAAUUCAAUGAAAAACUAUGUUCUUAA